GACGAACGCUGGCGGCGUGCCUAAUACAUGCAAGUCGAGCGGAGCUUAUCCUUCGGGGUAAGCUUAGCGGCGGACGUGUGAGUAACACGUAGGCAACCUGCCCCUUAGCCUGGGAUAACUACCGGAAACGGUAGCUAAUACCGGAUCAUUUCUUUUUUCUCCUGAAGGGAGAAUGAAAGGCGGAGCAAUCUGCCCUUAAGGUAUGGGCCUGCGGCGCAUUAGCUAGUUGGGGGGGUAACGGCUCACCAAGGCGACGAUGCGUAGCCGAGCUGGGAGGGUGACCGGCCCCACUGGGGCUGUGACACGUCCCAGGCUCCUACGGGGGGAGGCAGUAAGGAAACUGACGGAAUGGGGGAAAGCCAGUCGGAGGAACGCCGCGUGAGUGAUGGAGGUUUUCGGAUCGUAAAGCUCUGUUGCCAGGGAAGAACGUCCGGUAGAGUAACUGCUACCGGAGUGACGGUACCUGAGAAGAAAGCCCCGGCUAACUACGUGCCAGCCGCCGCUGUAA
This 508-nucleotide ribosomal RNA is filed under the name uncultured bacterium. Its description in RNAcentral is "partial 16S ribosomal RNA". It matches the Rfam family "Bacterial small subunit ribosomal RNA", at positions 28 to 523 of the family's 1533-position model. The record is from RNAcentral.